UUAAGUUCAGCGGGUAGUCCUACCUGAUUUGAGGUCUAAUGAUCAAAAUGUUGUCCCGUGAAGGACGAUUAGAAGCCAGUCGACUUGAGCUACACAGUGAAGACAUUAUCACACCGCAUAUAUGCUGCAAAUCAAUUACCAGCUAAUGCAUUCAAGGGAAGCCAGAACCCGUAAAGGCCAGCAAGUCCCCAAAUCCAAGC
Molecule: unclassified non-coding RNA, 200 nt
Filed under: Xylodon sp.
Lineage: Eukaryota; Fungi; Basidiomycota; Agaricomycetes; Hymenochaetales; Schizoporaceae
Description: partial internal transcribed spacer 2
Source: RNAcentral